UGGAAUCGUUGUUCUUUAUCAUACUUGAAUAUGGUUAUAUUCACUUAUUUCCUUUAUUCCAUGGGAAUGAUAUAUCAUGGUGUAUAAUAACACGACCAUACGGGCCUCGUGCCUCACACGACAUCUGUGAAUUAUAUGAGUAACAAAGUGUGUACAUAACAUGACAACACGAGCUUCAUGCCUCACACGACAUUAAUAAUUUAUUAGGGUGACAAAGGAUGUACAUAACACGACCAGAAGGGCCUUAGGCCUCACACAACAUCAAUGGACCACGAGAACAUGAGAGCGUAAUCUACUUAAAACAUUUUAUCAUCUUAUAACUUUGGAUGUUAUGCUGCAUAUAAGGCUCAUUAGGAGAACAACCAUUUGAAACAGGCCUUACUUAUGUAAUAUUCAACUAGGCAUCUCAAAAGAAUAACUACAAUCAAUUUGAGAAAAUCUGGAAGGCUCAACAACAAUCAAGAACAUGAUAUCUAUGGUAACUCAUCAAUGAUAGGAGCAUAAUCUCUAAAAAGGGUUUGACACAAUAGGAUCAUACUCUUUGUGAAGUCUCGACAAUGAUUGGAGCACAAUAACAUUUGAAAGCUCAUUUUCAUAGAAGAAUAACAUGGAUAUUUCAAUAUGAUACAUACUCUAGGGCCUCACAAAAUCGUAAAUAAGAAACAUAUAAUUCUAAGGCCAUGUCAUAGCAGAAAGAAAGGGAUUUAGCCUUACAUACCUCGAUUCUGAAUUCUUAGAAUAACUACAAAGAAUCAGCCCUUUCAUUAUAAUCUUUAUCUACAUGAAUCGAUAGAGAAGAAAACUAAUAUUAACAAAUUCACAACAACCUUCAGCUAUAUAAGAAAUUCAACAUACAUUCGAAGAGCGGCAAGCUCCGGAGACAAUCAAUUUAAUGGUGUGUCUCCACACCCUUCUGUCUGCCUUAACUACCAUGUCAAUUUUUUUUUACGAGAUUUAAAAUACUUCCUGAGCUUCAUAUCAUACAAAAUAAUCCCAUCUACCAUACACAACUAACAAUAUUUGGACUCAUGACUUUUGAUCACCGCCUCGUGAGUCCUACACGUUGAAUAUAACCAGAAUACUCAUAAGAGCUCAUGGAAGAAGGUAGGGGGAAAACUUUAACAUACCUUAGCUUGUUGGAAAUCUUAGAAACUGAUACACUUUGAAGCUUGCUCGAGAAAAUUUAGAUUCGCUACAAUCAACAAGAAAUCAGUGUUAGAACCACUUACUUUAUCUUGGGAUAACCUUGCUUAAUGAUAAAAAUUAACUUAGCUUCAAGUUCUAGGCUGAAAGGUAAUGUCGUACAUUUGCUAGGGUUCUGUUCUUAGAGGAGAAAAUGAAAAAAAA
This 1347-nucleotide long non-coding RNA is filed under the name Nicotiana tabacum (common tobacco). RNAcentral's name for it is "long non-coding RNA (NTAB_LNC017407)". The record is from RNAcentral. Lineage: Eukaryota; Viridiplantae; Streptophyta; Magnoliopsida; Solanales; Solanaceae.